RNAcentral lists this long non-coding RNA (283 nucleotides) under Lathyrus oleraceus (garden pea). RNAcentral describes it as "Pisum sativum (pea) long non-coding RNA (PSAT_LNC024178)". The record is from RNAcentral. Lineage: Eukaryota; Viridiplantae; Streptophyta; Magnoliopsida; Fabales; Fabaceae.
AUCAAGGAAUAUUUCAUCUGAUACAUGAUAAGACAAAGAAGACUUCUAGCUUCUGGGAUUGCUUUCUUGGAUAUGGCUAUCUUUAUUUGAUGCCUUGAUCUUCAUAAUGUCUGGAUAUUGCUAAUUUCUCAUUGAUUAUUGCUUCAUUCAAAGUCCAAAUGGAAAGUGGGUUUUAUAUAUGACAUUCUUGUCUGUUGGAUUGCAUCCCAUUGGUCAGAUGUUUUCAACUCUUCAUCUCCUCCCACUUCUUAAAUUUCAAAAUCUCUCCCUCUCUUCAAAAACC